GGAGAGGUGCUCGAGUGGCUGAAGAGGCACGUCUGGAAAGCGUGUAAACGGCGAAACCGUUUCGGGGGUUCGAAUCCCUCUCUCUCCGCAA
Molecule: transfer RNA, 91 nt
Filed under: Prevotella sp. OH937_COT-195
Lineage: Bacteria; Pseudomonadati; Bacteroidota; Bacteroidia; Bacteroidales; Prevotellaceae
Description: tRNA-Ser
Rfam family: tRNA
About the family: Transfer RNA (tRNA) molecules are approximately 80 nucleotides in length. Their secondary structure includes four short double-helical elements and three loops (D, anti-codon, and T loops). Further hydrogen bonds mediate the characteristic L-shaped molecular structure. tRNAs have two regions of fundamental functional importance: the anti-codon, which is responsible for specific mRNA codon recognition, and the 3' end, to which the tRNAs corresponding amino acid is attached (by aminoacyl-tRNA synthetases). tRNAs cope with the degeneracy of the genetic code in two manners: having more than one tRNA (with a specific anti-codon) for a particular amino acid; and 'wobble' base-pairing, i.e. permitting non-standard base-pairing at the 3rd anti-codon position.
Source: RNAcentral